This 484-nucleotide ribosomal RNA is filed under the name uncultured bacterium. RNAcentral describes it as "partial 16S ribosomal RNA". It matches the Rfam family "Bacterial small subunit ribosomal RNA", at positions 30 to 507 of the family's 1533-position model. The record is from RNAcentral.
AUCGAACGCUGGCGGCAGGCCUAACACAUGCAAGUCGAGCGGAUGAAGGGAGCUUGCUCCUGGAUUCAGCGGCGGACGGGUGAGUAAUGCCUAGGAAUCUGCCUGGUAGUGGGGGAUAACGUCCGGAAACGGGCGCUAAUACCGCAUACGUGCUGAGGGAGAAAGUGGGGGAUCUUCGGACCUCACGCUAUCAGAUGAGCCUAGGUCGGAUUAGCUAGUUGGUGGGGUAAAGGCCUACCAAGGCGACGAUCCGUAACUGGUCUGAGAGGAUGAUCAGUCACACUGGAGCUGAGACGCGGUCCAGCCUCCUACGGGAGGCAGCAGUGGGGAAUAUUGGACAAUGGGCGAAAGCCUGAUCCAGCCAUGCCGCGUGUGUGAAGAAGGUCUUCGGAUUGUAAAGCACUUUAGGUUGGGAGGAAGGGCAGUAAGUUAAUACCUUGCUGUUUUGACGUUACCAACAGAAUAAGCACCGGCUAACUUCGUG